UGGGGAAUCUUGGACAAUGGGGGAAACCCUGAUCCAGCAAUACCGCGUGGGUGAAGAAGGCCUGAGGGUUGUAAAGCCCUUUUAGUAAGGAGGAAGGAGUUUAAGUUAAUAGCUUGAACCUUUGACGUUACUUACAGAAAAAGCACCGGCUAACUCUGUGCCAGCAGCCGCGGUAAUACAGAGGGUGCGAGCGUUAAUCGGAAUUACUGGGCGUAAAGGGUGCGUAGGUGGUUACGUAAGUUAGGUGUGAAAGCCCCGGGCUCAACCUGGGAACUGCGCUUAAUACUGUGUAGCUAGAGUGUUGUAGAGGUAAGUGGAAUUUCCGGUGUAGCGGUGAAAUGCGUAGAUAUCGGAAGGAACACCAGUGGCGAAGGCGACUUACUGGACAAUAACUGACACUGAGGCACGAAAGCGUGGGGAGCAAACAGG
Molecule: ribosomal RNA, 429 nt
Filed under: uncultured bacterium
Lineage: Bacteria
Description: bacterial SSU rRNA
Rfam family: Bacterial small subunit ribosomal RNA
Source: RNAcentral